GGCCAUUUCUCAUGGAAAAUCAGGAAAAGAGAAUGAAACAUUAAUUUUCAUGUUGAGUUAUUACAGACAUCAGCAGUAUGGACCAAGCACCCACGAGAUAGAGUCCUGAACUGGGCACCAAGAGAGGGUCACAGAUAUAAAGAGUUUGCCUUGAGUCUCAGAUGAAACUUUGAAUAUUGGACAUUUGAGUUGAUGCUGGAACAAGUUAAGAGUUUUGAAGACUAUGGGAUAUAAUGACUAUAUUCAACACUGAAAGAGCGAAGACAAUGGCUCUUCCAGAGGAAGAAAGAUUAUCCUGUCCUGGCUAUCCUGUCUAUUACCAACAUUCCAGGAUGAAGAAAUAUGGUGAUACACUCAGGCCACUGGAAUGGCCUCCAGUACAGCAGUGAAUACCAGUGGAAUGCAACUUCUUUUGCUUUAGAAGACAAGCUCUUAGCAAUGUCAAGUUUCCAGGUACGACCGAGAGAUAUUCAACAUAUUAUUAUUUCCACUAAGAUGGGAAACAUUUCCUAGGGGUUAUUUCUCUUUGACAGCAGAGAAGUAUCCAAGUUAUUCUAGAUAAUAAAGCAAAGUUUUCCUCAAGUCCUGUAUUAUAUGAGACUGCUGUUUCUGAAAAUUAUAGUCCCACAGCAACCUAUGAAGUUUAGAGAUCAAUAUUUGAUUUUUCUAUCUUGCUAAAUAUUCUUCAAAUCAAGUAUUAGUUGUCCCUGUCACUCAGAAUGAAGAAAAACUGUGUUAAAGAGGACCUGGAGAAGUAAACUGACUACUGACUUACCAGACUCCAGAACUAUAACAAGUAAAUUUCUGUUGUUUAUAAGCUACCCAGAUUAUCGGGUUUUGUUUUAGCAGCCCAGGUGGACUAAGGCAAGGGUUCUUUUAGCUUUUUCCAUAUAUUUGUGUUUGUGUAUAUGUAUAUGUGAGAUGGAAAAAAAGAAUUUGUUAUGAUUCAUCAUAGAGUUAAAAUAUUUUAAGAAUUUAAACUUUUCUACAAAAAUGUAAUUCAAGUUUGUGUGAGAA
RNAcentral lists this long non-coding RNA (1017 nucleotides) under Pan troglodytes (chimpanzee). Its description in RNAcentral is "lincRNA". The record is from RNAcentral. Lineage: Eukaryota; Metazoa; Chordata; Mammalia; Primates; Hominidae.